RNAcentral lists this small RNA (388 nucleotides) under Pongo abelii (Sumatran orangutan). Its description in RNAcentral is "sense intronic". The record is from RNAcentral. Lineage: Eukaryota; Metazoa; Chordata; Mammalia; Primates; Hominidae.
UUUAUCUUUUUUGUUGUGAAACUUUUUUUUUUUUUUUGACAGGGUCUCACUUUGUUACCGAGAGCGAGACGUGAGACUCCAGCUCAAAAAAAAAAAAAAAUUUAUUUGCCUGCAAAUGGAUUUACUUUACUCUCGUUCUUGAAGGACUUUUUCCCCCUUAGGUGUGUAGGAUUUUAGGUUGACAGUAUUUUGUCCCUGCACUUUGCAAACAUCGUUCUUUCUGUCUCUGGGCCCGGGCGGCCGCAGGGUCUGCACGCGGGCCUUGGUUUUUGGUGCUUGUGCUCCGAUGGGCCGACAUGUAUCCUCAGCCUGUUCAGAGUUUGGGGCCUCUUGGAUCUGUGGCUUGAGGCCUUCAUCAUGUUUCUUCCAGUGUUGUUUCUGCCCCGUU